AACUGAAUGCUGGGGGGCCGGAUGGAAUCCGGCUGAGAGUUAGGCUGUUCUGCCUAUGACCCAUGGAACCUGUUGGGUAAUGCCAUCGUAGGGAGCGCGGUUCACGCCGUU
RNAcentral lists this non-coding RNA (111 nucleotides) under Flavonifractor plautii. RNAcentral describes it as "TPP sequence". It matches the Rfam family "TPP riboswitch aptamer (THI element)". Rfam says of the family: Vitamin B(1) in its active form thiamin pyrophosphate (TPP) is an essential coenzyme that is synthesised by coupling of pyrimidine and thiazole moieties in bacteria. The previously detected thiamin-regulatory element, thi box was extended, resulting in a new, highly conserved RNA secondary structure, the THI element, which is widely distributed in eubacteria and also occurs in some archaea. Analysis of operon structures identified a large number of new candidate thiamin-regulated genes, mostly transporters, in various prokaryotic organisms. The record is from RNAcentral. Lineage: Bacteria; Bacillati; Bacillota; Clostridia; Eubacteriales; Oscillospiraceae. RNAcentral also lists the same sequence under 1 other name.